Molecule: ribosomal RNA, 292 nt
Filed under: uncultured bacterium
Lineage: Bacteria
Description: partial 16S ribosomal RNA
Source: RNAcentral
GGACUACACGGGUAUCUAAUCCCGUUUGCUCCCCUGGCUUUCGUGUCUCAGCGUCGGCACAACCCCAGCGACCUGUUUUCACCUUCGGCGUUCCAAGCGAUAUCUACGCAUUUCACCGCUCCACCGCUUGUUCCAGUCGCCCCUAGUUGGCCCAAGAUCGCCAGUAUACCCAGCCGUUCCACGGGUGAGCCGUGGGAUUUCACAAGGUACUUAACGACCCGCCUACACACGCUUUAAGCCCAGUGAUUCCGCCUAACGCUUGAGGCCUCUGUCUUACCGCGGCGGCUGGCAC